This 253-nucleotide ribosomal RNA is filed under the name uncultured bacterium. Its description in RNAcentral is "partial 16S ribosomal RNA". It matches the Rfam family "Bacterial small subunit ribosomal RNA", at positions 524 to 776 of the family's 1533-position model. The record is from RNAcentral.
UACAGAGGGUGCGAGCGUUGUCCGGAAUCACUGGGCGUAAAGGGCGCGUAGGCGGCUUGAUAAGCGUGCGGUGAAAGCCCGGGGCUCAACCCCGGGUCGGCCGUGCGAACUGUCGAGCUGGAGCACUGUAGAGGCAGGUGGAAUUCCGGGUGUAGCGGUGGAAUGCGUAGAGAUCCGGAAGAACACCGGUAGCGAAGGCGGCCUGCUGGGCAGUGGCUGACGCUGAGGCGCGACAGCGUGGGGAGCAAACAGG